CCUUCAGUUUGCUGAGUACGUAACCUUUGGUAACAGUACAUUCAGGAAAGUGACAGAAAACGAUUUAGCCAAACACGCCGCUUCCAGAUAGCUGCCUACAUCCUAGAUGUCAAACAAUACAUCAAUCAGCAUUGUGCUCUUAAGCUGUUAUUUAAUUUCCAAGGGAUCUGGGAAGAGUGUUUCUUCCCAGAACCUGAUUUUUGCUUUAUUUAAAUAAUAAAUAAUGCGGCUGCAGGGGAAGAGGUAGGAAGGGAAGUGGCGUCGUUCAUUUAUUUUUGCAAAGGCAAAACCAUAACAUUUGAACACAUCCAAAGCAGUUCAUUUCAAACGGCUCCAAACUUUCCAUUGUGCACGUACCCAAAGAGCUGAUUAUGUUCUGGUUUCACAAUAGCAUUUCCAUGACAACUGAUAUAUGCAUUGUUUUCUAAAAGGGCAGAAGGGUACAAAUAAUCUCAAAAUGAAAUGGUUUCUCCUCUGGAGGUUACCAAAGCUGAUUUUUCUCCAAAUGGGUGCAGAUGCACACUGGUCUGACCACAUCAGCACUGUGACAGGACAUGCAGGACCAUUGCUGCCAAGGAGGAGGCACAGUGGUAUGCUGCGUAGUGCCUUUGGGGCCAUGCCAAGGAGGAGGCACAGUGGGAUGCUGCAUAGGGCCUUCAGAUGAACCCACAUACAGGACUAAAAACUCUUCUCAGACUCAUCCUAAAGCAUCCAUGUCCCUACUGGAGAUUUCAACUGCAAUCUCUGCCAUACGGAGAAACUCCCCUCUAACAUAGAAAGCAGAAAAGAUUCAGCCAGAGCCAAGUGGCGUUUCAUGGCUAAAUUAAGGCAGAACUGCUCUGAAAUAGUUGGAUGAAAGCACCAAAUAAGAGUAACAACCCUUCUGCCCAUCAGUGCUGUUGCAGUGUUUUCCCCGUGUCAGAGAGAUGCUGAAGUUCAGCUUAGGCAAAUUUCCCACCGCCGUGCAGCAGUUUUCAUGCAAAGGUUAAUAACUCCCUGUACGUUCUGUGAGCUCAGCACUUCCCCUGAAUCUCAGCUUGAUGUACUGCCCUUUUCUCCAGGAGCACGUUGCUUCCUCCCUCCCUCCUGCUAAUCAGUUUUAUCAACACAGCCCCAGGUGAAGAAUGGCUUUCAAGAUACGUAGACUGGGAGACAGAAAGUGUUGCUUACACCAAAUGAUAACAGUCAACAGAAUCCUAUUAAUAAGCUACAGAAAUCCAGCUAUGACCCAGAAUCACAGCUGAUGUAAACUGAAAUAGCAAUGACAACUUACACCAAAAAAGAGCCUGGCCUUGUGAGUUUAUAAAUCUCAAUGCUCUUUAAAAACAAAGCAGUAAAUCAUUUUGCCUGAGAAAUGAGAAUAUCAAUUAUAUUGCUCUAUAUCCUUCCCCUCUUCACUAUAACCAUUGAUUUGUGCUUCCCUAUUUCAUCCUAGGAUUUUUGAAGGCAGCUGAAAAUUUAUGGCUUCAUUCUACAGAGAGGAAAGCUGAGGAUCUCAUGAGUUGGGGGUGCUCACCAGGCUGUGGGGGAUAAAGUUCACCUUUCCCUGUUUCCUCUUCCCAUACAAGAUCUACAAGAUCA
Molecule: long non-coding RNA, 1581 nt
Filed under: Gallus gallus (chicken)
Lineage: Eukaryota; Metazoa; Chordata; Aves; Galliformes; Phasianidae
Description: lncRNA (ENSGALG00010026230.1)
Source: RNAcentral